AAUGAACGUUGGCGGCGUGGAUUAGGCAUGCAAGUCGCGCGACAAGGAACCUUCGGGUUCUGGAGGAGCGGCAAACGGGGUAGUAAGGCAUCGGAACGUACCCUCUUGUUGGGAAUAGCCGCGGGAAACUGCGAGUAAUGCCCAAUAAUCCCUACGGGGCAAAGGUCCGCCGCAGGAGGAGCGGCCGAUGUGAUACCAGCUAGUUGGUGAGGUAAUGGCUCACUAAGGCUUAGACGUCUAGGGGGUGUGAGAGCAUGGCCCCCCACCACUGGGACGUGAGAUACUGCCCAGACACCUACGGGUGGCUGCAGUCGAGAAUCUUCGGCAAUGGGCGCAAGCCUGACCGAGCAACGCCGCGUGCGGGAUGAAGG
RNAcentral lists this ribosomal RNA (371 nucleotides) under uncultured bacterium. Its description in RNAcentral is "bacterial SSU rRNA". It matches the Rfam family "Bacterial small subunit ribosomal RNA", at positions 29 to 414 of the family's 1533-position model. The record is from RNAcentral.